This 77-nucleotide transfer RNA is filed under the name Polaromonas sp. RNAcentral describes it as "tRNA-Met". It matches the Rfam family "tRNA". From Rfam's summary of the family: Transfer RNA (tRNA) molecules are approximately 80 nucleotides in length. Lineage: Bacteria; Pseudomonadati; Pseudomonadota; Betaproteobacteria; Burkholderiales; Comamonadaceae. The record is from RNAcentral. RNAcentral also lists the same sequence under 5 other names.
GGUGGUAUAGCUCAGUUGGUUAGAGCGCAGCAUUCAUAAUGCUGAAGUCGGUGGUUCAAAUCCACCUACCACCACCA